RNA transcript from Vitis vinifera (wine grape), 1570 nucleotides. It is a transcript of the gene named protein FAR1-RELATED SEQUENCE 5, with no coding region annotated. Lineage: Eukaryota; Viridiplantae; Streptophyta; Magnoliopsida; Vitales; Vitaceae. The transcript is spliced from 4 exons. The record is from RefSeq and is a predicted model, not a curated record.
UUAUCAUCAACCCUUUUCUCAAUUCCAUGCGCUUUUCUCAGUUUUUGCGGUUUUGUUUGGAUUGCCAAAUUCCCGAAACCCUGCUGUUUUGAUAUCAAAUGAAGGCAAGAAGAUGGGUUGGGAAUCGUUUUGCUGAAAAACCCAUUUGUUUUGGUUGUGGUUUUGAACUGGGAAAAGCGGAUUUUGAACUGAUUUGCCAAAAAGGAACCUUUUAUUUUUUCCUUUCUGUUUUUGGGUGUUGGGAAACAAUGCAUUUUUAGUGAAACCCAUUUCUUGGAUGGUGUUUUUGGAUUGGGAGGAUUGGGCUUUGAAGUGGAUUACCAAAAGGGAACACUUUUUGGGGAGGGUGUAUUUCUUUGGAGAGCGAAAUAAGUGCUUCUGAAAUGGAGCAUAAUGGAGAAUCCAUCUUCUUUAGGGUUUGAUUCAGAUGAAAGCGACCCGGAUAUGCAAGCUGAAGCCUAUGAAGACCAUGAAAGAAUAGAAGAUAAGCUUCCAAAUAAUUUGGAUUUAUGUGCAGGUGAAGAUGACAAGAUAGUAGAACAAUCUGUUAUAAACAGGGAAGUGUUGGAACCAUACAUAGGAAUGGAGUUCAACUCAAGAGAUGAAGCUAGAGAGUUUUAUGUUGCCUAUGGUAGGCGUACUGGUUUCACUGUACGCAUACAUCAUAAUCGCCGUUCACGAGUAAACAAUCAGGUUAUUGGUCAAGAUUUUGUUUGUUCAAAAGAAGGUUUUCGUGCAAAGAAGUAUGUAUACAGAAAAGAUAGAGUUCUUCCUCCACCACCAAUCACCCGAGAAGGAUGUCAGGCAAUGAUAAGGCUUGCUCUAAGGGAUGGAGCAAAAUGGGUUGUCACCAAGUUUGUGAAAGAGCAUAGUCAUAAAUUAAUGAGUCCUAGUAAAGUUCCAUGGAGGGGAUCCGGAAAACAUUUAGUCAGUGAGGACGAGAAGGAUAAGAGAAUCAGAGAACUAUCCCUUGAGUUGAACAAUGAGAGGCAAAAAUGUAAACGACGGUGUGCUGCAUAUGAAGAACAGUUAAAUAUGAUUUUGAAAGAUUUGGAGAAACACACAGAACACAUGUCAAGAAAGGUUUCUGAUAUAGUACAGAGCAUAAGAGAAAUCGAGGAGGAACAAUCAGAAGACUCUGACAAAGAAUGGAGUUAGCUGAGCUCGUACCAUUUCUUCCUCUCCCUUUAUUUGCCUUUUUUCUCAAGAUGGGUGGAGAAAAUGGAAAAUAUUUAUUGGAACUAGCAGGAGACGAUGAAAUGUUAAACGAUGAAGUGGCUUUAUGAGAUUACUGCAGCACUUUGAGCUCAAAGAUUGAAGCAAAUCCCAACACCAAGACGAUGUUUCCAAUCGAGGGUAGGCAAAUCUUGGCUGCAAUUCUCACUAAAACCAAAUCUACAUGCAUUAAUCUUGAUUGAAAAGUUGCAUUCUAAAGUCUGAGGACUAUUUGCUCAGUUGGAUGUCUGUCUAUAAGGUGUACCAUAGUUUCCAUUGUGCUUCUCUUGUAUAUUUAAGAAUGGAGUAAGGGUUUUGGAAUAAAUGGAGAUAGGGUUUUCAGAUUUUUCUAUCA